Lonchura striata (white-rumped munia) is the source of this 131-nucleotide non-coding RNA. The record is from RefSeq and is a predicted model, not a curated record. NCBI's taxonomy places the organism in Eukaryota, Metazoa, Chordata, Aves, Passeriformes, Estrildidae.
CCACGCCCUCCCGGAAGUGCCGCUCCGCUCCGGCUGCAGCGCCCGGCGGCCCCCAGCGGAGCAGAGCGGGACCCCCCCGGGGACACCGGGACCCCCAAAAACACCCCGGGGACACCGGGACCCCCCAAAAA